Molecule: transfer RNA, 138 nt
Filed under: Desulfobulbus sp.
Lineage: Bacteria; Pseudomonadati; Thermodesulfobacteriota; Desulfobulbia; Desulfobulbales; Desulfobulbaceae
Description: tRNA-OTHER
Source: RNAcentral
GCUCACCGUGGCGAAAUUGGUAGACGCAAGGGCGGGCCGUUCCCCCUCGUUGCACGUCACGGCCUCCAGCCUCGCGACAAGAUCGCGGGCUAUAGAAGGCGAAACACGUAUUGCAGGUUCGAAUCCUGCCGGUGAGCA